This 442-nucleotide ribosomal RNA is filed under the name uncultured bacterium. Its description in RNAcentral is "partial 16S ribosomal RNA". It matches the Rfam family "Bacterial small subunit ribosomal RNA", at positions 338 to 795 of the family's 1533-position model. The record is from RNAcentral.
CCUACGGGUGGCAGCAGUAGGGAAUCUUUCACAAUGGGCGAAAGCCUGAUGGAGCAACGCCGCGUGCAGGAUGCAGGCUUUCGGGUUGUAAACUGCUUUUAUAAGCGAGAAAUAUGAUGGUAACUUAUGAAUAAGGAUCGGCUAACUACGUGCCAGCAGCCGCGGUCAUACGUAGGAUCCGAGCAUUAUCCGGAGUGACUGGGUGUAAAGAGUUGCGUAGGUGGCAUAAUAAGUAGCUAGUGAAAUCUGGUGGCUCAAACAUUCAGACUAUUAGCUAAACUGUUAAGCUCGAGACCGUUAGGGGUAACGGGAAUGUCUGGUGUAGGGGUGAAAUGCGUAGAUAUUAGGAGGAACACCAAUGGCGUAGGCAGGUUACUGGGACGGUUCUGACGCUAAGGCACGAAAGCGUAGGUAGCAAACGGGAUUAGAUACCCUAGUAGUC